Molecule: ribosomal RNA, 253 nt
Filed under: uncultured bacterium
Lineage: Bacteria
Description: partial 16S ribosomal RNA
Rfam family: Bacterial small subunit ribosomal RNA
Source: RNAcentral
UACGUAGGGUGCGAGCGUUAAUCGGAAUUACUGGGCGUAAAGCGUGCGCAGGCGGUGAUGUAAGACAGGUGUGAAAUCCCCGGGCUUAACCUGGGAACUGCAUUUGUGACUGCAUCGCUGGAGUGCGGCAGAGGGGGAUGGAAUUCCGCGUGUAGCAGUGAAAUGCGUAGAUAUGCGGAGGAACACCGAUGGCGAAGGCAAUCCCCUGGUCCUGCACUGACGCUCAUGCACGAAAGCGUGGGGAGCAAACAGG